UCAAGGCCAUGUGCUAAUAUCAACGGUGCGGCAGUGCCAGUGAAAGUCAGGCAGUAUGCCGGAGCAACAGAGUCUUGAUUUUUAGAGGCAGGUUUUAAAGAAAGAAAUCAGUGUUGUAAAGAAAGAAAAAGAUUUUCCACUCAAAGAAUUAUGGAUGACACAGAGGGUUCAGGAACCAUAAAUUUGAUGUUGGGAGUCUUAACUUCACCCUGAU
Molecule: long non-coding RNA, 214 nt
Organism: Saccostrea echinata
Lineage: Eukaryota; Metazoa; Mollusca; Bivalvia; Ostreida; Ostreidae
Exons: 3
Source: RefSeq, a predicted model, not a curated record